GAGAGACUGAAAGCUGCAGAUCAGAGGAAGAGGAGCUCGGACGGGAGACAUGAAUGAAGCAAAGAGGAGGAAGAUUUCAUCCAAAAGAGAUGAGCAGAGCGGAGCAGAUGAAGAGAGAGGAGCAGAGGAGAGUGAAGAGGAGAGAGACAUGAACAGAGUACCGAGGAGGAAGAUUCCACCUAGAAGAGAUGAGCAGAACGAGUCCGAUGAUGAGAGACGAGCAGAGGAGAGAGGAGCAGAGGAGAGAGGACAGAA
Molecule: long non-coding RNA, 255 nt
Organism: Scomber japonicus (chub mackerel)
Lineage: Eukaryota; Metazoa; Chordata; Actinopteri; Scombriformes; Scombridae
Exons: 4
Source: RefSeq, a predicted model, not a curated record